AACGAACGCUGGCGGCAUGCCUAACACAUGCCAGUCGAACGAGACCUUCGGGUCUAGUGGCGCACGGGUGCGUAACGCGUGGGAACCUGCCCCUAGGUUCGGAAUAACUCCCCGAAAGGGGUGCUAAUACCGGAUAAUGUCUUCGGACCAAAGAUUUAUCGCCUUUGGAUGGGCCCGCGUUGGAUUAGCUAGUUGGUAGGGUAAAAGCCUACCAAGGCGACGAUCCAUAGCUGGUCUGAGAGGAUGAUCAGCCACACUGGGACUGAGACACGGCCCAGACUCCUACGGGAGGCAGCAGUGGGGAAUAUUGGACAAUGGGCGAAAGCCUGAUCCAGCAAUGCCGCGUGAGUGAUGAAGGCCUUAGGGUUGUAAAGCUCUUUUACCCGGGAUGAUAAUGACAGUACCGGGAGAAUAAGCUCCGGCUAACUCCGUG
RNAcentral lists this ribosomal RNA (433 nucleotides) under uncultured bacterium. RNAcentral describes it as "partial 16S ribosomal RNA". It matches the Rfam family "Bacterial small subunit ribosomal RNA", at positions 29 to 507 of the family's 1533-position model. The record is from RNAcentral.